GCUGAGGUAGCCAAGCGGACCACGGCGCCGGUCUUGAAAACCGGUGGUGCAUAGCGCCUCGGGAGUUCGAAUCUCUCCCUCAGCG
This 85-nucleotide transfer RNA is filed under the name Methanobacteriota archaeon. RNAcentral describes it as "Euryarchaeota archaeon tRNA-Ser". It matches the Rfam family "tRNA". From Rfam's summary of the family: Transfer RNA (tRNA) molecules are approximately 80 nucleotides in length. Their secondary structure includes four short double-helical elements and three loops (D, anti-codon, and T loops). RNAcentral also lists the same sequence under 3 other names. Lineage: Archaea; Methanobacteriati; Methanobacteriota. The record is from RNAcentral.